GUGCCAGCAGCCGCGGUAAUACGUAGGAGGCGAGCGUUGUCCGGAUUUAUUGGGCGUAAAGAGCGCGCAGGCGGCAUGGCAAGUAAGGUGUGAAAUCUCCCUGCUCAACGGGGAGGGAGCACUUUAGACUGCCAAGCUAGAGGACGGUAGAGGGGGGUAGAACUGCUGGUGUAGCGGUGAAAUGCGUAGAGAUCAGCAAGAAUACCCGUGGCGAAGGCGGCCCCCUGGGCCGAACCUGACGCUGAGGCGCGAAGGCUAGGGGAGCGAACGGGAUUAGAUACCCCAGUAGUCC
Molecule: ribosomal RNA, 292 nt
Filed under: uncultured bacterium
Lineage: Bacteria
Description: partial 16S ribosomal RNA
Rfam family: Bacterial small subunit ribosomal RNA
Source: RNAcentral